RNAcentral lists this ribosomal RNA (406 nucleotides) under uncultured bacterium. RNAcentral describes it as "partial 16S ribosomal RNA". It matches the Rfam family "Bacterial small subunit ribosomal RNA", at positions 29 to 526 of the family's 1533-position model. The record is from RNAcentral.
AUUGAACGCUGGCGGCAGGCCUAACACAUGCAAGUCGAACGAGUGGCGGACGGGUGAGUAAUGUCUGGGAAACUGCCCGAUGGAGGGGGAUAACUACUGGAAACGGUAGCUAAUACCGCAUACCAUCGGAUGUGCCCAGAUGGGAUAAGCCAGUAGGUGGGGUAAAGGCUCACCUAGGCGACGAUCCCUAGCUGGUCUGAGAGGAUGACCAGCCACACUGGAACUGAGAAAAGGUCCAGACGCCUAGGGGAGGAAGCAGUGGGGAAUAUUGCACAAUGGGCGCAAGCCUGAUGCAGACAUGACGAGUGUAUGAAGAAGGCCUGCGGGUUGUAAAGUAAUUUCAGCGGGGAGGCGUUAACCGCAGAAGAAGCACCGGCUAACUCCGUGCCAGCAGCCGAGGAAAUUC